GUAAGUAGUGCAUGCCUUUAGCUAUGUCAGUUGCCCAGGUCAUGAUAUGAUCCAUAUCCAUCUCUUCACUUUUGUUACUGUUAAUGUAAUCAAACAGUGAGCCAGCAGAAGCAUACUCUGUAACUAUGCCAUAAUUUGGAGGUUCAAUGACAGCUCCAUAGAACUGAAUGAUGUUUUUGUGACUGAGCACACUGAGUAUUUCUGCCUCCUUUUCUAUUUUGAGCAGCUUCUUCACAGCCACCUCCUUGUCCUGAGAAAUCCAUCGGGCUCGAUAGACG
Molecule: long non-coding RNA, 278 nt
Filed under: Gallus gallus (chicken)
Lineage: Eukaryota; Metazoa; Chordata; Aves; Galliformes; Phasianidae
Source: RNAcentral